This 500-nucleotide ribosomal RNA is filed under the name uncultured bacterium. RNAcentral's name for it is "partial 16S ribosomal RNA". It matches the Rfam family "Bacterial small subunit ribosomal RNA", at positions 30 to 523 of the family's 1533-position model. The record is from RNAcentral.
AUUGAACGCUGGCGGCAUGCCUUACACAUGCAAGUCGAACGGUAACGGGUCCUUCGGGAUGCCGACGAGUGGCGAACGGGUGAGUAAUAUAUCGGAACGUGCCCAGUAGUGGGGGAUAACUGCUCGAAAGAGCAGCUAAUACCGCAUACGACCUGAGGGUGAAAGGGGGGGAUCGCAAGACCUCUCGCUAUUGGAGCGGCCGAUAUCAGAUUAGCUAGUUGGUGGGGUAAAGGCCUACCAAGGCAACGAUCUGUAGUUGGUCUGAGAGGACGACCAGCCACACUGGGACUGAGAAACGGCCCAGACUCCUACGGGAGGCAGCAGUGGGGAAUUUUGGACAAUGGGCGCAAGCCUGAUCCAGCAAUGCCGCGUGCAGGAAGAAGGCCUUCGGGUUGUAAACUGCUUUUGUCGGGGAAGAAAUCUUCUGGGCUAAUACCCCGGGAGGAUGACGGUACCUGAAGAAUAAGCACCGGCUAACUACGUGCCAGCCGCCGCGGUAA